GACGAACCGUCCUAACGUUGUUCGGAAUACUGGGCUUAAAGGGCGCGUAGGCGGGUUCCCAAGUCGGUGGUGAAAUCUUUCGGCCCAACCGGAAAACAGCCGCCGAUACUGGGAGUCUUGAGGGAGGUAGGGGUCGAUGGAACUCCGGUGGAGCGGUGAAAUGCGUAGAUAUCGGAAGGAACGCCGGUGGCGAAAGCGAUCGACUGGACCUUUUCUGACGCUGAGGCGCGAAAGCCAGGGGAGCAAACGGG
Molecule: ribosomal RNA, 251 nt
Filed under: uncultured bacterium
Lineage: Bacteria
Description: partial 16S ribosomal RNA
Rfam family: Bacterial small subunit ribosomal RNA
Source: RNAcentral